RNAcentral lists this ribosomal RNA (337 nucleotides) under uncultured bacterium. Its description in RNAcentral is "bacterial SSU rRNA". It matches the Rfam family "Bacterial small subunit ribosomal RNA", at positions 28 to 356 of the family's 1533-position model. The record is from RNAcentral.
GAUGAACGCUAGCUACAGGCUUAACACAUGCAAGUCGAGGGGCAGCAUUAUCGAAGCUUGCUUUGAUAGAUGGCGACCGGCGCACGGGUGAGUAACGCGUAUCCAACCUUCCCCAUAGUCAGGAAUAGCCCGGCGAAAGUCGAAUUAAUGCCUGAUGUUUUCCACGGACGGCAUCCGAUGUGGAACAAAGAUUGAUCGCUAUGGGAUGGGGAUGCGUCUGAUUAGCUUGUUGGCGGGUAACGGCCCACCAAGGCAACGAUCGAGUAGGGGUUCUGAGAGGAAGGUCCCCCACAUUGGAACUGAGACACGGUCCAAAAUCCUACGGGAGGCAGCAGUG